UGAGAGCUUUGGUGACUUUUUUCCACCUCCUCCUCCCCCCACCCCCGUGUGAACACUUAACUUCCCCAGCUCGAUCCACUCUGGGAGCACAUCCACACCUGGCUGCUGUCGGAAACUGGAGAUGCUAUGUGAUUCUUAAGCUUCUUAAGCCUGAAAGCUGCAGGAGCAAAGAGCUGAUGCUGAGAAAGAUUGAGGGCAGAAGGAGAAGAGGGUGACAGAAGAUGAGAUGGCUGGAUGGCAUCACCGAUUCAAUGGACAUGAACUUGGGCAAACUCCAGGAGAUGGUCCAACAACAUGAGCUGGGUCCUGAUAGUGAGCCGGACACUCAUCUCUCCCUCAGGGACCCUCACGUGAACCCUUGGCAGAUGAGGGCACUGGGGCCCGGAACCUUCCCACUGGCUUCCCGCGCCAGUCACAAAGCAGUAGAGAGUAACUCAAGCUUACAGAUGAACGCUUGAGGCAGCCUCUGAGCAACUUACACACGUUCACACUUGAAAUGAAUCAGGCGCUUUUGAAAUUCCCUUUUCACCAAAGGGCAGAGAGAAACCAAGACUUCCUAAGAAGCUGCACUAGGCUCGGCCAGCCCACUAAAACAGGAAGCUCCAAGGCCCUGGAGUCGGGCCGACUGACCCCCAGUCCUGGCACCCUCACUCGCAGGUGCCCUGGGAUGAAUGACUCACCAUCUCUAGUCCCAUGUGUAAACCGGGAUUAGCAAUACCUACCUUGUGAGAUUACUGUGACACUUGGAAAUAACGUAGACCUUUAACAAUGCUCAUUCUGUUGUGUUGGUGUUAUGUGAAAACAGCCUCUGACCAAGCAGAUUGUGUGUGCUUCUGAGCCUGUAGAAGUAAAUACUUAAAUAACCUACUCCCCCAAACCCAACCAUCUCUUAGCACAGCAGUCACCUUCCCUGCAUCAGGGGGCUGACCCCUUGGCACAUCGCUGGCUCCUCUACACAGUCCUGGCCUGUGUGCACCCCAAGCCCUGGCCUUAGAGACCUGAGCUGGACCCUGAAACCCCCCACCUGACCAG
Budorcas taxicolor (takin) is the source of this 1032-nucleotide long non-coding RNA. RefSeq lists it as uncharacterized. Lineage: Eukaryota; Metazoa; Chordata; Mammalia; Artiodactyla; Bovidae. The transcript has 3 exons. The record is from RefSeq and is a predicted model, not a curated record.